Python bivittatus (Burmese python) is the source of this 433-nucleotide non-coding RNA. The record is from RefSeq and is a predicted model, not a curated record. NCBI's taxonomy places the organism in Eukaryota, Metazoa, Chordata, Lepidosauria, Squamata, Pythonidae.
CGGAUGAUCGAGCCGCACCCUGCUCUAUGCCCUGCUCCAUACCUGUGCAGCCAAGGAAAAGAAGGAAGCAUCACAGCCUGAAAGCACUUAGUUCUACAGCCCCAAAUCUGAUGGAAGAAGCAUCUGCUAUUCCACCCCUGUUCCAAGUUGGUGCCGUCUGGGAAAAAGUCAAGACACCAAAGGGCAACCCAUCCCUCAGCAUAAAGAAACAUAGAGCUACAAGAAAGUGUCAGCCUGGACUAUGCAGCCAUCAACCAGAAGAGAUAUUUGGAAACUGAGGAUGGGCUUACUUCCUUUGCCUCUCCAGUUUCUACCCUUCCACUGACAGCAGUCCUCUCCUCUACCCAGAACCAUCCCUUCUUUUGCUCUGAUCUAAGGUAUACUGGCUCUUGUUUCAUAUGUAAAAUGUAAAAGCAUGCUGUGGUGGCUCUUA